UUUGUAUUACGUGCGGAAAUUGUUACCAUUUUUGAGCCGAAGAUGUGGUAAGAAUUUCCGCACGUAAUACAAA
This is a non-coding RNA of Paramuricea clavata, 73 nucleotides long. The record is from the annotation of a GenBank genome assembly. Lineage: Eukaryota; Metazoa; Cnidaria; Anthozoa; Malacalcyonacea; Plexauridae.